RNAcentral lists this ribosomal RNA (412 nucleotides) under uncultured bacterium. RNAcentral's name for it is "bacterial SSU rRNA". It matches the Rfam family "Bacterial small subunit ribosomal RNA", at positions 9 to 418 of the family's 1533-position model. The record is from RNAcentral.
GAGUUUGAUCGUGGCUCAGAUUGAACGCUGGCGGCAGGCCUAACACAUGCAAGUCGAACGGUAACAGGAAGAAGCUUGCUUCUUUGCUGACGAGUGGCGGACGGGUGAGUAAUGUCUGGGAAACUGCCUGAUGGAGGGGGAUAACUACUGGAAACGGUAGCUAAUACCGCAUAACGUCGCAAGACCAAAGAGGGGGACCUUCGGGCCUCUUGCCAUCGGAUGUGCCCAGAUGGGAUUAGCUAGUAGGUGGGGUAACGGCUCACCUAGGCGACGAUCCCUAGCUGGUCUGAGAGGAUGACCAGCCACACUGGAACUGAGACACGGUCCAGACUCCUACGGGAGGCAGCAGUGGGAAUAUUGCACAAUGGGCGCAAGCCUGAUGCAGCCAUGCCGCGUGUAUGAAGAAGGCCUU